UACAGAGGGGGCAAGCGUUGUUCGGAAUUACUGGGCGUAAAGGGCGCGUAGGCGGCCGAUUAAGUCAGACGUGAAAUCCCCGGGCUCAACCCGGGAACUGCGUCUGAGACUGGACGGCUCGAAUCCGGGAGAGGGAUGUGGAAUUCCAGGUGUAGCGGUGAAAUGCGUAGAUAUCUGGAGGAACACCGGUGGCGAAGGCGGCAUCCUGGACCGGCAUUGACGCUGAGGCGCGAAAGCCAGGGGAGCAAACGGG
This 253-nucleotide ribosomal RNA is filed under the name uncultured bacterium. RNAcentral's name for it is "partial 16S ribosomal RNA". It matches the Rfam family "Bacterial small subunit ribosomal RNA", at positions 524 to 776 of the family's 1533-position model. The record is from RNAcentral.